CUGCACCUGCUGGCGGCCGUGCCAGGCAGCCCGGGCGAGCGAAGGCGCGCUGCGCGCACGACAGAUGACUGGAGUCAUUUACAUUGCUAGCACGUGGGUGCCGUUUGCUGUUGCCUCGGACUUCUCCCGUGCUGUGUUCUCCCGGUGGGGAAACAGGAGGCACUUUGCAGCCAACAAUGAAAUCUUGGCAGCUAAUUGCAGUCGUGGGAGAUGCCCUUCAGGAUAUCAAAGCAGACUGCAAUACCUGCGUGGAAAUAGAGGACAGAAAGGCUUAAUUAUAAAUCUCUUGGGAGAAGAGGCAAGGCCUGUGGGUUCCUGGGAAAACAGUGUUGCAUCUCUAGGCUUGAAGGUCUGCUCCUCUGCUCAGAAGUUUCAAGACAACAGAUGAAUUGUGAAAGAGAGCAGCUAAGGGUGGAGGGGUGAGAUUGAACUAUCAAAGCCUGGCUGAGAAAAAGCAAAAUCCUUGAUGGAAAUCUCUGGAACAGGGAAAAAUGAGCAGAACUGGCACCAAGGAAGCAUUAGGAGAGAGAAGAUAGUGGGGAAGCAGAAAGGAAC
RNAcentral lists this small RNA (555 nucleotides) under Pongo abelii (Sumatran orangutan). Its description in RNAcentral is "processed transcript". The record is from RNAcentral. Lineage: Eukaryota; Metazoa; Chordata; Mammalia; Primates; Hominidae.